RNAcentral lists this ribosomal RNA (403 nucleotides) under uncultured bacterium. RNAcentral describes it as "partial 16S ribosomal RNA". It matches the Rfam family "Bacterial small subunit ribosomal RNA", at positions 355 to 748 of the family's 1533-position model. The record is from RNAcentral.
UGGGGAAUAUUGCACAAUGGGCGCAAGCCUGAUGCAGCCAUGCCGCGUGUGUGAAGAAGGCCUUCGGUUGUAAAGCACUUUCAGCGAGGAGGAGGGUGGUGAACUUAAUACGUUCAUCAAUUGACGUUACUCGCAGAAGAAGCACCGGCUAACUCCGGUGCCAGCAGCCGCGGUAAUACGGAGGGUGCAAGCGUUAAUCGGAAUUACUGGGCGUAAAGCGCACGCAGGCGGUUUGUUAAGGUCAGAUGGUGAAAUCCCCGGGCUCAACCUGGGAACUGCAUUUGAAACUGGCAAGCUAGAGUCUCGUAGAGGGGGGUAGAAUUCCAGGUGUAGCGGUGAAAUGCGUAGAGAUCUGGAGGAAUACCGGUGGCGAAGGCGGCCCCCUGGACGAAGACUGACGCUC